Molecule: ribosomal RNA, 447 nt
Filed under: Salmonella enterica
Lineage: Bacteria; Pseudomonadati; Pseudomonadota; Gammaproteobacteria; Enterobacterales; Enterobacteriaceae
Also listed under: 1 other name
Description: partial 23S ribosomal RNA
Rfam family: Bacterial large subunit ribosomal RNA
Source: RNAcentral
ACCGGCGAUACCCGAAUGGGGAAACCCAGUGUGACUCGUCACACUAUCAUUAACUGAAUCCAUAGGUUAAUGAGGCGAACCGGGGGAACUGAAACAUCUAAGUACCCCGAGGAAAAGAAAUCAACCGAGAUUCCCCCAGUAGCGGCGAGCGAACGGGGAGGAGCCCAGAGCCUGAAUCAGCAUGUGUGUUAGUGGAAGCGUCUGGAAAGGCGCGCGAUACAGGGUGACAGCCCCGUACACAAAAGCGCAUGUGCUGUGAGCUCGAUGAGUAGGGCGGGACACGUGGUAUCCUGUCUGAAUAUGGGGGGACCAUCCUCCAAGGCUAAAUACUCCUGACUGACCGAUAGUGAACCAGUACCGUGAGGGAAAGGCGAAAAGAACCCCGGCGAGGGGAGUGAAAAAGAACCUGAAACCGUGUACGUACAAGCAGUGGGAGCACCCUUUGGG